AACAUCGCCUCUUGCAACUUAAGAAUAAGAGGUCCUGCCUGCCCGGUGACUAUGUUUAACGGCCGCGGUACCCUGACCGUGCAAAGGUAGCACAAUCACUUGUCUCUUAAAUAGAGACCCGUAUGAAUGGCAAGACGAGGGCUUAACUGUCUCCUUCCCUAAGUCAAUGAAACUGAUCUCCCCGUGAAGAAGCGGGGAUACCUCCAUAAGACGAGAAGACCCUGUGGAGCUUAAGACGUAUAAUAGACUAUAAUAAACCCCAAAUUAAAGACUCAACCUUAUAAUUGCUAUUAAAACUGUCUUUGGUUGGGGCGACCACGGGGUAAAACAAAACCCCCACGCGGAAUAGGAUAUCCCUUUAUUUAUCCUCAAGUUCAGGGCGCCAGCCCAGGAAAACAGAAUUUCUGACCUCACGACCCGGCACAGCCGAUCAACGGGCCAAGUUACCCCAGGGAUAACAGCGCAAUCCUCUUCUAGAGUUCAUAUCGACAAGAGGGUUUACGACCUCGAUGUUGGAUCAGGACAUCCUAUUGGUGUAGCAGCUAUUAAGGGUUCG
This 556-nucleotide ribosomal RNA is filed under the name Siphamia jebbi (Jebb's siphonfish). Its description in RNAcentral is "partial 16S ribosomal RNA". It matches the Rfam family "Bacterial large subunit ribosomal RNA", at positions 1812 to 2575 of the family's 2925-position model. Lineage: Eukaryota; Metazoa; Chordata; Actinopteri; Kurtiformes; Apogonidae. The record is from RNAcentral.